AAAAAACAAACAAUAAAUCAUUCAUCAGUGUAUCUCAUUGAGAAAGCCUACAAAUAGUGUUUUAAUAAAUACAAAUGAAAUGCAUAGCAGUGAAAAUUAACACAAGUCACUAGCUAAUAUUCCUAUGGAAAUAUAAAUAAUAACACCAAUACAGAAAUAAAAAGCGGAUGCCUAUCUACCACUGGUUACGCCUUUAUUCCUAAAUCGAAGAAUUCGAUUGGCUGCCGUAAUAAUUAUCAUGUACCAUUCAAUUUACAUAAGGCUCUAAUAAUGACCUUUACUGAAACUAAGCGCAAUUUUGCCAUUGAUCACUGACACCAUCGAUAAUCAUGGGUCAUACUAGAAGAUAUUAUAAAAACAAGAAAAGAAAUAAAACAAAGAAUAAGCAUAUAAGAUUUAAACAAAAUCUUGCUAUUGAAAAUAAGAAAC
This 429-nucleotide long non-coding RNA is filed under the name Mytilus galloprovincialis (Mediterranean mussel). Lineage: Eukaryota; Metazoa; Mollusca; Bivalvia; Mytilida; Mytilidae. The record is from RNAcentral.